GCUACCACCGCCGCCGUUGAUGACGAUGCAGUACAACAACCUCGGCCGCUCCGGCCUCCGCGUGAGCCAGCUCUCCUACGGCGCCUGGGUCAGCUUCGGCAACCAGCUCGACGUCAAAGAAGCGAAAUCCCUUCUCCAGACCUGCCGCGACGCCGGCGUCAACUUCUUCGACAACGCCGAGGUCUACGCCAACGGCCGCGCCGAG
RNAcentral lists this unclassified non-coding RNA (205 nucleotides) under Hevea brasiliensis (rubber tree). Lineage: Eukaryota; Viridiplantae; Streptophyta; Magnoliopsida; Malpighiales; Euphorbiaceae. The record is from RNAcentral.